Paramuricea clavata is the source of this 1359-nucleotide non-coding RNA. The record is from the annotation of a GenBank genome assembly. Lineage: Eukaryota; Metazoa; Cnidaria; Anthozoa; Malacalcyonacea; Plexauridae.
GUUCCCUAUCUUCUUCUUACAUCUUUGCAAUUGCUGCUGUAAGUUUUUAAUUUUAUGUUUUAAUUGUUUUUUAGAAAUUUCUUCAUCUUGAAGUGAAUUAUUGAUUGCCUGCAGUGGUGUCUGUUGUAUUAGUUUUUGCCGUUUUCCAUAGCAGUGAUUAUGAUAUCACACAAUAGGAAGGUAUAGCAGAAGUGUAUCUUGAGUUGGUGCCUUUGAUGUUUUUGUCCACUGAAAUUUUAACUUGCUCACACCAAUCCACGCCAUCCUGGCUAAAACAGCCGGAAGUUUUGAUAAGUACAAAGUGCCAGUUGUACUUGCCAGGAUGGCGAAUGAUGGCAUAAUAUUGGUGUCAGCUGUGUUGUCAGGCUUAUCGCUCAUGCGCACUGAAAAACACUUCUGCUAUUAAUACCUUCCUGUAUUAUGUGAUGAUAUUGUUGUUGACAAUAGCAGGGUUGGUAAGUUAGAUGAAUAAUUAGGCCAAAUCAUCACUAGUGCACUAUUAGAACACAAAGGCCUAGUGUGACGGUGUUUGGCCUAAUUAUUCAGCAAACCUACCAACCCUGGACAAUAGAUGUUCAUGUGACAUAAUUGGAUGUUUAUGGCCUUGAUGGGUGGUGCUUCCUUCAGGCAUUUUCAGUUGGCUUCUAGCCUCUUUUGGUAUGCUUUGCAGUUUGAAUUCCAAUUUGAAUACUGAUGGUACAGCAUUUUUUUUUAGCCUGCACGACCCUGUUGAGGAUGGUGUAGUCAGGGGUGGAUUUAUAGGGGGGUGCACAAGGGUGUGACCCCUGUUGGCCUUGGUCAACAGGGGUGCAAAAAAAUCAAAUUUGGAAAUAUGGCACAAUUUCCAAGGUUUUUCCUUUUUUAAAGUCAUACUGAAGCUCAUCAUUCAAUGCCCAUAUCGCAGGAAAUGGCAUUUCUAGGGUUUUAAUUUUCAGAAUGUUCCGGACCCCUGGACCCCCUAGGGAGCUUGCGCCUUCGGCGCUCAAGUCAUUAGGAAGCCAAUUUAUUUGAAUGCUCUCCCACCACCCCCUAAAGAAUUAUAAAGGAACACUCGGCUGCUCACCCAGCACCCCCUAGAAAAACCUUGCUGGAUCGACCUCUGAGUGUAGUCACAUGCAUCGAAAUGAUUACUACAAAUGUAGCUGUGGCAUUUUGCCCUCCACUGUUGCCCAUCAUUUAUUGCUCUCUUAAACUACAUCUUCGCACUUCUCAUGAUGCCUUUCAUCUUUUUAAGGAAAACCUGUAUUAAUGAAAAUAGGCUUUUUCAUUUUGUCAUUAUGAAUAUGUACGGUACCCAUUGUCAUAGUAGUGUUUACUAUUGAAAUGUAAAUAAAUUGAAUAUUAAUAAAUAUUUUAAAG